AUGAAUGUACCUGGGGACAAUGCCAUUCAGAGAAGGGGAAGUGGCCAGCAUAACCAGAGCAGGGUGUGUGUCGAAGAGAGUGAUGGCAGCGGGCUCGUGGCCCAGGGCGAGGCGCGCGCCCCGCUGGCCUGGCCACGACGCGGGCGCAGCGGAGGGCGGCCCGCGAGGUGUCUGACCCGGUCCCUGUCCUGCGCGCAGGCCAAGAUUAAGGCUCGAGACCUUCGCGGCAAGAAGGAAGAGCUGCUGAAGCAGCUGGACGACCUGAAGGUGGAGCUGUCCCAGCUGCGCGUCGCCAAAGUGACUGGCGGCGCGGCGUCCAAGCUCUCCGAGAUCCAAGUUGUUCGCAAAUCCAUCGCCCGUGUUCUCACCGUCAUUAACCAGACCCAGAAGGAGAACCUCAGGAAAUUCUACAAGGGCAAGAAGUACAAGCCCCUGGAUCUGCGGCCCAAGAAAACAAGUGCCACGCGCCGCCGGCUCAACAAGCACGAAGAGAACCUGAAGACCAAGAAGCAGCAGCGGAAGGAGCGCCUGUACCCGCUGCGGAAGUACGCGGUCAAGGCCUGAGCACCCCCCAAUAAAACAGACAAGCGGGC
This is a non-coding RNA of Ceratotherium simum simum (southern white rhinoceros), 593 nucleotides long. The record is from RefSeq and is a predicted model, not a curated record. Lineage: Eukaryota; Metazoa; Chordata; Mammalia; Perissodactyla; Rhinocerotidae.